GACGUGGUAGCCCAACGGCAGAGGCAUCCGGUUUAAGCCCGGUAAGUCAUGGGUUCGAGUCCCACCCACGUCA
This 73-nucleotide transfer RNA is filed under the name Fuerstiella sp. RNAcentral describes it as "tRNA-Leu". It matches the Rfam family "tRNA". From Rfam's summary of the family: Transfer RNA (tRNA) molecules are approximately 80 nucleotides in length. The record is from RNAcentral. Lineage: Bacteria; Pseudomonadati; Planctomycetota; Planctomycetia; Planctomycetales; Planctomycetaceae.